This 117-nucleotide ribosomal RNA is filed under the name Escherichia coli. RNAcentral describes it as "partial 16S ribosomal RNA". It matches the Rfam family "Bacterial small subunit ribosomal RNA", at positions 1 to 110 of the family's 1533-position model. The record is from RNAcentral. RNAcentral also lists the same sequence under 2 other names. Lineage: Bacteria; Pseudomonadati; Pseudomonadota; Gammaproteobacteria; Enterobacterales; Enterobacteriaceae.
AAAUUGAAGAGUUUGAUCAUGGCUCAGAUUGAACGCUGGCGGCAGGCCUAACACAUGCAAGUCGAACGGUAACAGGAAACAGCUUGCUGUUUCGCUGACGAGUGGCGGACGGGUGAG